AAUCAACGCUGGCGGCGCGCCUAACACAUGCAAGUCGAACGAGAAAGUGGAGCAAUCCAUGAGUACAGUGGCGUACGGGUGAGUAACACGUGGAUCAUCUACCUUUUAGUGAGGAAUAACCAAGGGAAACCGUGGCUAAUACCGCAUAAGUCCGAGAGGAGAAAGCAGCAAUGCGCUGGGAGAGGAGUCCGCGGCCGAUUAGCUAGUUGGCAGGGUAAAAGCCUACCAAGGCAAAGAUCGGUAGCCGGCCUGAGAGGGCACACGGCCACACUGGCACUGAAACACGGGCCAGACUCCUACGGGAGGCAGCAGUGGGGAAUCUUGCACAAUGGGGGAAACCCUGAUGCAGCGACGCCGCGUGAGCGAUGAAGCCCUUCGGGGUGUAAAGCUCUUUCGGCAGGGAAGAUUAUGACGGUACCUGCAGAAGCAGCUGCGGCUAACUACGUGCCAGCAGCCGCGGUAAUACGUAGGCAGCGAGCGUUGUUCGGAGUUACUGGGCGUAAAGGGUGUGUAGGCGGUUGCUUAAGUUUGGUGUGAAAUCUCCCGGCUCAACUGGGAGGGUGCGCCGAAUACUGAGUGACUCGAGUGCGGGAGAGGAAAGUGGAAUUCCUGGUGUAGCGGUGAAAUGCGUAGAUAUCAGGAGGAACACCGGUGGUGUAGACGGCUUUCUGGACCGUAACUGACGCUGAGACACGAAAGCGUGGGUAGCAAACAGGAUUAGAUACCCUGGUAGUCCACGCCCUAAACGAUGCAUAUUUGGUGUGGGUCAUUCAGUUGAUCCGUGCCGGAGCUAACGCGUUAAAUAUGCCGCCUGGGGAGUACAGUCGCAAGGCUG
Molecule: ribosomal RNA, 835 nt
Filed under: uncultured bacterium
Lineage: Bacteria
Description: bacterial SSU rRNA
Rfam family: Bacterial small subunit ribosomal RNA
Source: RNAcentral